This 802-nucleotide ribosomal RNA is filed under the name Staphylococcus aureus. RNAcentral describes it as "bacterial SSU rRNA". The stretch from base 165 to 802 matches the Rfam family "Bacterial small subunit ribosomal RNA", at positions 875 to 1520 of the family's 1533-position model. The record is from RNAcentral. Lineage: Bacteria; Bacillati; Bacillota; Bacilli; Caryophanales; Staphylococcaceae.
GAAAGGUGAAAAGCACCCCGGAAGGGGAGUGAAAUAGAACCUGAAACCGUGUGCUUACAAGUAGUCAGAGCCCGUUAAUGGGUGAUGGCGUGCCUUUUGUAGAAUGAACCGGCGAGUUACGAUUUGAUGCAAGGUUAAGCAGUAAAUGUGGAGCCGUAGCGAAAGCGAGUCUGAAUAGGGCGUUUAGUAUUUGGUCGUAGACCCGAAACCAGGUGAUCUACCCUUGGUCAGGUUGAAGUUCAGGUAACACUGAAUGGAGGACCGAACCGACUUACGUUGAAAAGUGAGCGGAUGAACUGAGGGUAGCGGAGAAAUUCCAAUCGAACCUGGAGAUAGCUGGUUCUCUCCGAAAUAGCUUUAGGGCUAGCCUCAAGUGAUGAUNAACCCUUAAGCUUAGUUGCCAUCAUUAAGUUGGGCACUCUAAGUUGACUGCCGGUGACAAACCGGAGGAAGGUGGGGAUGACGUCAAAUCAUCAUGCCCCUUAUGAUUUGGGCUACACACGUGCUACAAUGGACAAUACAAAGGGCAGCGAAACCGCGAGGUCAAGCAAAUCCCAUAAAGUUGUUCUCAGUUCGGAUUGUAGUCUGCAACUCGACUACAUGAAGCUGGAAUCGCUAGUAAUCGUAGAUCAGCAUGCUACGGUGAAUACGUUCCCGGGUCUUGUACACACCGCCCGUCACACCACGAGAGUUUGUAACACCCGAAGCCGGUGGAGUAACCUUUUAGGAGCUAGCCGUCGAAGGUGGGACAAAUGAUUGGGGUGAAGUCGUAACAAGGUAGCCGUAUCGGAAGGUGCGGCUG